RNAcentral lists this unclassified non-coding RNA (329 nucleotides) under soil metagenome. Its description in RNAcentral is "partial contains 5.8S ribosomal RNA, internal transcribed spacer 2, and large subunit ribosomal RNA". The stretch from base 1 to 120 matches the Rfam family "5.8S ribosomal RNA", at positions 35 to 154 of the family's 154-position model. The record is from RNAcentral.
GAUGAAGAACGUAGCGAAAUGCGAUAAGUAGUGUGAAUUGCAGAAUUCAGUGAAUCAUCGAAUCUUUGAACGCACAUUGCGCCCCCUGGUAUUCCGGGGGGCAUGCCUGUCCGAGCGUCAUUACAACCCUCAAGCUCAGCUUGGUAUUGAGCCCCGCCGACCCGGCGGGCCCUAAAGUCAGUGGCGGUGCCGUCCGGCUCCGAGCGUAGUAAUUCUUCUCGCUCUGGAGGUCCGGUCGUGUGCUCGCCAGCAACCCCCAAUUUUUUUCAGGUUGACCUCGGAUCAGGUAGGGAUACCCGCUGAACUUAAGCAUAUCAAUAAGCGGAGGA